RNAcentral lists this ribosomal RNA (455 nucleotides) under uncultured bacterium. RNAcentral describes it as "partial 16S ribosomal RNA". It matches the Rfam family "Bacterial small subunit ribosomal RNA", at positions 338 to 787 of the family's 1533-position model. The record is from RNAcentral.
CCUACGGGUGGCAGCAGUGAGGAAUAUUGGUCAAUGGGCGCGAGCCUGAACCAGCCAAGUAGCGUGAAGGAUGACUGCCCUACGGGUUGUAAACUUCUUUUAUAAAGGAAUAAAGUGAGGCACGUGUGCCUUUUUGUAUGUAUUUUAUGAAUAAGGAUCGGCUAACUCCGUGCCAGCAGCCGCGGUAAUACGGAGGAUCCGAGCGUUAUCCGGAUUUAUUGGGUUUAAAGGGAGCGUAGAUGGGUUGUUAAGUCAGUUGUGAAAGGUUGCGGCUCAACCGUAAAAUUGCAAUUGAUACUGGCAGAGUUGAGUAGAGUUGAGGGAGGCGGAAUUCGUGGUGUAGCGGUGAAAUGCUUAGAUAUCACGAAGAACUCCGAUUGCGAACGGAGCCUACUAAACUGCCACUGACAGCGAUGCUCGAAAGUGUGGGUAUCAAACAGGAUUAGAGACUACUC